RNAcentral lists this unclassified non-coding RNA (1020 nucleotides) under Agrilus planipennis (emerald ash borer). Its description in RNAcentral is "uncharacterized LOC108737459, transcript variant X4". The record is from RNAcentral. Lineage: Eukaryota; Metazoa; Arthropoda; Insecta; Coleoptera; Buprestidae.
AUUCAACCAAAUAAUUAAUCAAUCACUUUUCGUUAUCACAAAGAUACGGCAGUUGUUUUAUUUUUUUUUUAUUUGUGGUUGAAUUGGCCCGAAAAAUAAAUGAGGCAUAAUUUUUCAAGAAAUAGAAGUGUUCCUUUUCAAUACCUGCGCAAAAUCCCAUAUAUAUGUAUAUAAUACAAAAGUAUCUUUUUUCUAACGUUGGGGAAAAAAAUUUAAAAAUAGGCGAUUAAUUAAUUAAUUAUAUUAUAAUGCCCACGACCCUGUUGAAUAUGUUAUAUCUAAAAUUACGAUAAUAAAAAUAAAUCUAUUUGAAUGCAAACAACGUAUCUUACGAAUACAGUUUAGUUAUUAGUGAGUACAGAAGUGUUUUGCGGUCUUGAAAUGCUACAGCUCAAUUUAUUAUUAGAGGUGAUAACAUGACACUUGAAAAGGACUUAAAUUUGGAUGUAGAGAAGGAACGAAAAGUAAGACUGUGCGUUGAAAAUUACUAUUUGGCGAUAUUUUCUUCAGAGAACGUUCGGGGUUGUCCUAAUAAAUUCGACGAGCACAUAAACUGUUUUAGCUCUUCUUGUGAAAAUAAGAGCCGAUAAAGAUGAUCUAAGUCUAGUUUACAUUUAUGGUAUAAAAUCGGGACUGUAUUUGACCAUGGUUGGCGAAAAAGGACACGUUAAGGGUGUGAAAAAUAAAAGUAAAGCCAGUAUAUUUAAAGAACAAUACGCCCAAUCAUGGAUCGAUAACACUGUACAAUCAGUGAAUUAUCUAACAUACGAAUGCAUGAGAGAGAAAAUAAAAACAGGCUGGUUCAUUAGCGUUACCAUCGAAGGUUCGAUUAGAAAUGGAUCUCACUCGACAAAAGAAUUUAUUUGCGAUCUUGCGAAAAAAACAAACGACAACAAAAUAAUAGAACGACGACAGGCCGAAAUGAAAUUUUUGCAAGAUUGCGUUACCCUUUGAUCGGUAAAACGCCGUAGGGAGCCUACAAAUUAAAUUAAGUAUUUAAAUUAUGUUGUGAUGUAUGAA